Molecule: long non-coding RNA, 266 nt
Filed under: Struthio camelus australis
Lineage: Eukaryota; Metazoa; Chordata; Aves; Struthioniformes; Struthionidae
Description: lncRNA (ENSSCUG00000018309.1)
Source: RNAcentral
UACACAGAUUUUCUCUCAGUAUGUUUCUAAUUUAACUUCUUAAUUAGCCCUAACUCCUAUGAGUGCAGUAAGGAACAAGCAUCUAACGUAAGGUUUGGAUUCCACUGUUGGACCCAGCUAUCAAAGCAGGCUGCUGGUACACGACAGCGUAAUCUCCAAAAAGAGGAUGGUGACAAGCAACUUCAGCUGAUAACCUUUUUUACUUGCACAAUUACCCCUAGAAGAUACUCGUUCACAGCUUUGCGCUCUGUGAGCGUACACUGGAA